UACAGAGACUGCAAGCGUUAUUCGGAUUCACUGGGCGUAAAGGGUGCGCAGGCGGCCGAGUGUGUUAGAUGUGAAAUCCCGGGGCUCAACCCCGGAACUGCGUCUAAAACUACUUGGCUAGAGCAUUGGAGAGGGUAGCGGAAUUCACGGUGUAGCAGUGAAAUGCGUAGAUAUCGUGAGGAACACCAGAGGCGAAGGCGGCUACCUGGACAAUUGCUGACGCUCAGGCACGAAAGCGUGGGGAGCAAAAGGG
Molecule: ribosomal RNA, 253 nt
Filed under: uncultured bacterium
Lineage: Bacteria
Description: partial 16S ribosomal RNA
Rfam family: Bacterial small subunit ribosomal RNA
Source: RNAcentral